Molecule: ribosomal RNA, 497 nt
Filed under: uncultured bacterium
Lineage: Bacteria
Description: partial 16S ribosomal RNA
Rfam family: Bacterial small subunit ribosomal RNA
Source: RNAcentral
GAUGAACGCUGGCGGCGUGCCUAAUACAUGCAAGUCGAGCGAACGGACGAGAAGCUUGCUUCUCUGAUGUUAGCGGCGGACGGGGGAGUAACACGUGGAUAACCUACCUAUAAGACUGGGAUAACUUCGGGAAACCGGAGCUAAGACCGGAUAAUAUUUUGAACCGCAUGGUUCAAAAGUGAAAGACGGUCUUGCUGUCACUUAUAGAUGGAUCCGCGCUGCAUUAGCUAGUUGGUAAGGUAACGGCUUACCAAGGCAACGAUGCAUAGCCUACCUGAGAGGGUGAUCGGCCACACUGGAACUGAGACACGGUCCAGACUCCUACGGGAGGCAGCAGUAGGGAAUCUUCCGCAAUGGGCGAAAGCCUGACGGAGCAACGCCGCGUGAGUGAUGAAGGUCUUCGGAUCGUAAAACUCUGUUAUUAGGGAAGAACAUAUGUGUAAGUAACUGUGCACAUCUUGACGGUACCUAAUCAGAAAGCCACGGCUAACUACGUG